CUGUCGUACUUCAGUUUUGUAGAUGAUCAAUUGAUUUAAGUUCUGAUCCAUUUGAAAUGACCUCUCUAUCUGUUCUAUAUGUGUGUCAUGGAACUAAGUGUCAUUCCACUAUGGCUCAGCAGUACCUUUUGCAGAUGGUGCUCAAAGCUCUUGAAGGCUCUUCCUUGAAGAAGUUGACUAAUAUCGAUAGUUGUGGGACUGAAGACGAUGACUUUGGAAGCUAGCCGGACCCUGGAACUGACUGAGACUGUCCCGAAAAAGCACGAGUUGCAUUUUGUCGCAUGUAGCACGAUUGUUUGUACCUGAAACCGACAGCCAGUUUGAUCACAUUCUGUGUAUGGACAGUUAUUUAUGAUGGCAGUGAAAAGCUAUCUGAAGACUAUCAAGACUUCAGCCAAUAUUGAACUCCUUGGAAAGUUCGACACAAAAGGCGUAGAAGAUGUGUUCAACGCUUGGAUGUGCCCUGUUAGUGAAUUUAGGAAGGUUUGUCAACACAUCGAGUUCAAUAGAUGAAUUUUUCAAAACUUUAAUGCCCUUAAUUUGUCUGCUUCUAUCGAAAAUUCAGCCUUUCAGUUGAAAUCUUAAGUUACGAAUUAUUUAUUUGUGAACUUGAACUGAAUUUUGUAUGGAAAUUCUAUUCCAUAGUGGUGUUAUUUCGUCGUGAGGCGACAAUUCGGCUGCGAGCGACAAUUGGUAGCAUUUCAAGAAGCGGCAUUUAAUGGCUGAGCAAUUUGGCAUUAUAAUUAUGUAAAUAAUUCGGAAUAAUUUGAGUCAGCAAUGUACAGCAACCAAUCUGCCAUGACUUAGCGGGUGUAGAAAAUAGAUGUGCACAUGGCCGUCAGUGCGAAUCUUCGGUGUAUACAGAGAUGCAGAAAAGACUAUAGAGCUCCGUUCGAAUAGGUUCGGAGGAAAAGGAGAACGAGCCAGAGCUUGUUCCGUCAACUGUGGACGAUUUGAAUGAGUUGAACGUGAAUCAAUUACUAGGCCAUCUUCAUUCCACAAAGAAUAAAGAGGCGAGUAAGAUUCAAUACUCCAUUGAAGGGAAUGUAUAUGUAAACAAAAUCGCAUAUGCCAGAACAGUAAGAAGUCAACUGAUUCGCCUCUAACGACUAGUCGUUUUAUAGACAAUGAGCCAUCAACAGACAACAAAAUCCUCAAGAUGAACUAGUCUGUUUUUGAGUGUAGGGAGCAACUAUUUGUUUUACUUGGUAUCGAGUUUCAAUUUGGUAUUGGAAUUGCUAAUUUUCAAGCCAAAAAUCAUCAACCCAACAUAAUCUAGAUUGUCGCUCGUUUCACUCCACACACCAUCUGUUUGCAUGUCCUGGAAGCUUGUUGAGUGUUUGCCCAAUUUUGGUUCCGUUCAUUCUGUGAUGCUCUGGGAUUUUCGAUUCCUGGUUUCAGAUUAUUUUGCUUGUUGUAAAUCCUUUUCGCUCGUUUUGUCACAUCAUUUUGGAUUUCAACCUAAAUUUUUGUCGAAAAUUUUUUCAUCGUUGUAAAUAAGGCCGAACUUGUGACUGGUUUGCCUUAUUUUGGAAUA
Molecule: long non-coding RNA, 1537 nt
Organism: Symsagittifera roscoffensis
Lineage: Eukaryota; Metazoa; Xenacoelomorpha; Acoela; Convolutidae
Exons: 3
Source: RefSeq, a predicted model, not a curated record